AGAACGAACGCUGGCGGCAUGCCUAACACAUGCAAGUNGAACGAGACCUUCGGGUCUAGUGGCGCACGGGUGNGUAACACGUGGGAAUCUGCCCUUUGCUUCGGAAUAACAGUUAGAAAUGACUGCUAAUACCGGAUGAUGUCGAAAGACCAAAGAUUUAUCGGCAAAGGAUGAGCCCGCGUAGGAUUAGGUAGUUGGUGGGGUAAAGGCCUACCAAGCCGACGAUCCUUAGCUGGUCUGAGAGGAUGAUCACCCACUCUGGGANUGAGACACGNCCCAGACUCCUACGGGAGGCAGCAGUGGGGAAUAUUGGACAAUGGGCGAAAGCCUGAUCCAGCAAUGCCGCGUGAGUGAUGAAGGCCUUAGGGUUGUAACAGCUCUUUUACCAGGGAUGAUAAUGACAGUACCUGGAGAAUAAGC
RNAcentral lists this ribosomal RNA (420 nucleotides) under Sphingomonas sp. HTCC335. Its description in RNAcentral is "bacterial SSU rRNA". It matches the Rfam family "Bacterial small subunit ribosomal RNA", at positions 26 to 491 of the family's 1533-position model. The record is from RNAcentral. Lineage: Bacteria; Pseudomonadati; Pseudomonadota; Alphaproteobacteria; Sphingomonadales; Sphingomonadaceae.